Molecule: long non-coding RNA, 802 nt
Organism: Lagopus leucura (white-tailed ptarmigan)
Lineage: Eukaryota; Metazoa; Chordata; Aves; Galliformes; Phasianidae
Exons: 4
Source: RefSeq, a predicted model, not a curated record
GCAUUACUUUCAGAGCAAGCUACAUGGAAUGGUACUAUAAGUGAAUAACAAAAGUAAAUCACUCAAUUAUGAUCCAGAUUGCUUCACUGAAGUCAGAGAUUUGAACCCAGUUCUUAACUGAACCAAACACGUAACAUCAAGCUGUCUGAAAUCUGAUUGGAUUUUGUAACUCUAUCAUGGAAAUCUGUUGCCUAACUUGACCCCCACAUUUUUGAUGAUGCUUUUUACAAACACCCGUGCAAUUGAGAGUAAAAUCCUGAACACUGAAUCAGCGGUGUGAAACACUGAACUGUUGCUGUUUUGUUUCAGAAGGUUUUCAGUUCUUCCAAUGGUAAAUGACUCACCUAACUCAAGAUUUGUAAAGUACUAUCUGGACUGUAUUGCUAACUGCAAGUCACUGUACAGACUCAUCAUUCAUACAACAAAAAAAGAAGCCCCCAAGCAUACCUCAUCUAUUUGCAUUCCCUUCCUCAGUGCUUGCUUUAUUUCCAAAACUGGAACAAAUAGAGACUGCUCAGUAAUAAUCACCUGAGGCCCUUUCAGCCUUAGCCAGGUGGCAGAAGACGUCCCUCACCCUUAUCCUAUGAGAUUUUCUUUUGCACCAAUAUGCUCGUUCUUUUUGUGUCAUCACAAACACCAUUAUUAGUCCAGUCACUCCUUGCAUGCCAAAUUGGCUUCAGCUCACAGUGGCACACUUGUAAUCCAUUUGUUCCAUUUUACCAUGUGUUCAUAAAUGUAAACUAGAUAUUUGAAAAAAACGAGACCACUAAAAAGAAUCAAUGAGACUAGAGCCUUUCAGAAC